Molecule: ribosomal RNA, 440 nt
Filed under: uncultured bacterium
Lineage: Bacteria
Description: partial 16S ribosomal RNA
Rfam family: Bacterial small subunit ribosomal RNA
Source: RNAcentral
CCUACGGGUGGCAGCAGUAGGGAAUAUUGCUCAAUGGGGGAAACCCUGAAGCAGCAACGCCGCGUGGAGGAUGAAGGUUUUCGGAUUGUAAACUUCUUUUGUUAGAGAAGAUAAUGACGGUAUCUAACGAAUAAGCACCGGCUAAAUCCGUUCCAGCAGCCGCGGUAAUACGGCGGGUGCAAGCGUUACUCGGAAUCACUGGGCGUAAAGAGCGCGUAGGCGGGAUAGCAAGUCAGAUGUGAAAUCCUAUGGCUUAACCAUAGAACUGCAUUUGAAACUGUUAUUCUAGAGUAUGGGAGAGGUAGGUGGAAUUCUUGGUGUAGGGGUAAAAUGCGUAGAGAUCAAGAGGAAUACUGAUUGCGAAGGCGACCUGCUAGAACAUAACUGGCGCUGAUGCGCGAAAGCGUGGGGAGCAAACAGGAUUAGAUACCCCGGUAGUC